This 483-nucleotide ribosomal RNA is filed under the name uncultured bacterium. RNAcentral's name for it is "partial 16S ribosomal RNA". It matches the Rfam family "Bacterial small subunit ribosomal RNA", at positions 28 to 507 of the family's 1533-position model. The record is from RNAcentral.
GAUGAACGCUAGCGGCAGGCCUAAUACAUGCAAGCCGAACGGCAAGUUUGAUAGCAAUAUUGGACCUAGAGUGGCGCAAGGGUGCGUAACACGUAUGCAACCUGCCCGCGACAGGAGGAUAGCUCCCCGAAAGGGGAAUUAACCCUCCAUAACACCAUGAGAAGGCAUCUGAUUAUGGUUAAACCGCAAGGGGUCGCGGAUGGGCAUGCGGUUGAUUAGCUAGUUGGCGGGGUAAAGGCCCACCAAGGCGGUGAUCAAUAGGGGUUCUGAGAGGAAGGUCCCCCACACUGGCACUGGGAUACGGGCCAGACUCCUACGGGAGGCAGCAGUAGGGAAUAUUGGGCAAUGGUUGCAAGACUGAUCCAGCCAUGCCGCGUGCAGGAAGAAGGCCUUCUGGGUCGUAAACUGCUUUUUCCUGUGGAUAAAAUACCCGUGCGCGGGGAAUUGAAGGUAACAGGGGAAUAAGCCACGGCUAACUACGUG